Molecule: ribosomal RNA, 252 nt
Filed under: uncultured bacterium
Lineage: Bacteria
Description: partial 16S ribosomal RNA
Rfam family: Bacterial small subunit ribosomal RNA
Source: RNAcentral
UACAGAGGGUGCGAGCGUUAAUCGGAAUUACUGGGCGUAAAGCGUGCGCAGGCGGUUUUGUAAGCCAGAUGUGAAAUCCCCGGGCUCAACCUGGGAACUGCAUUUGGGACUGCAAGGCUAGAGUACGGCAGAGGGGGGUAGAAUUCCUGGUGUAGCAGUGAAAUGCGUAGAUAUCAGGAGGAAUACCGAUGGCGAAGGCAGCCCCUGGGUCGAUACUGACGCUCAUGCACGAAAGCGUGGGGAGCAAACAGG